UGGGGAAUAUUGGGCAAUGGGCGAAAGCCUGACCCAGCGACGCCGCGUGAAGGAUGAAGGUCUUCGGAUUGUAAACUUCUUUGAUCAGGGAAGAAAGAAAUGACGGUACCUGAAAAACAAGCCACGGCUAACUACGUGCCAGCAGCCGCGGUAAUACGUAGGUGGCAAGCGUUGUCCGGAUUUACUGGGUGUAAAGGGCGUGUAGGCGGGGAUGCAAGUCAGAUGUGAAAUCCCGCGGCUCAACCGCGGAACUGCAUCUGAAACUGCGUCUCUUGAGUGUCGGAGGGGAAAGUGGAAUUCCUAGUGUAGCGGUGAAAUGCGUAGAGAUCGGGAGGAACACCAGUGGCGAAGGCGGGUAACUGGACUGCAACUGACGCUGAGGCGCGAAAGUGUGGGGAGCAAACAGG
Molecule: ribosomal RNA, 407 nt
Filed under: uncultured prokaryote
Description: bacterial SSU rRNA
Rfam family: Bacterial small subunit ribosomal RNA
Source: RNAcentral